CUUACUUUUUGAGAUUAAGAAAUGUGCUGAUUUGAAGGUGAAAGACAUUUGCCGAAAUUUGUCCCCUCUUUUUUCUCCAAUACUUAGGCUGUUUAUUGGGGUCCCUUUCUCUCCAGCCCAUUUACUGGAGUAGGGCCUUGCAAAGCCGGUCUCCUAGCAGCCAGUGCAGAAGGCCCAUUCGUAUCACAAUGGACGGGAAGGAAAGAAAGAGCCUGGUUUGUUUAAACUGCCUCUGUCUUCAUUCACAGCCUGAUGUCCGUCUGCAUUGUGACACCCACAAUGGCACUAAAGGACCCAUUGUGGCCGAAAACAAAUCAAAACAGAAUAAGGGAUGCUGAGAAAAAGAGCCAUGCAACAAAAUUGCUUAAAAAACCUAAGUCUUACGUCUGAGAUUUAUGUUACCUUUUGGCUGCGCGGCCUAUUGCCGGUGUUUAUAGUAACUGCUGGAGUUUAAUCAAAAAAAGAUAAAUGCCAA
Molecule: long non-coding RNA, 475 nt
Filed under: Lynx pardinus (Iberian lynx)
Lineage: Eukaryota; Metazoa; Chordata; Mammalia; Carnivora; Felidae
Source: RNAcentral